RNAcentral lists this transfer RNA (72 nucleotides) under Bos taurus (domestic cattle). It matches the Rfam family "tRNA". From Rfam's summary of the family: Transfer RNA (tRNA) molecules are approximately 80 nucleotides in length. Their secondary structure includes four short double-helical elements and three loops (D, anti-codon, and T loops). RNAcentral also lists the same sequence under 5 other names. Lineage: Eukaryota; Metazoa; Chordata; Mammalia; Artiodactyla; Bovidae. The record is from Rfam by way of RNAcentral.
UCCCAGGUGGCUCAGUGGUAAAGAAUCUACCUUCCAAUGCAGAAGACAUGGGUUCAAUCCCUGAUCUGGGAA